RNAcentral lists this ribosomal RNA (301 nucleotides) under uncultured bacterium. RNAcentral's name for it is "partial 16S ribosomal RNA". It matches the Rfam family "Bacterial small subunit ribosomal RNA", at positions 509 to 807 of the family's 1533-position model. The record is from RNAcentral.
CAGUAGCCGCGGUAAUACGUAGGGUGCAAGCGUUAAUCGGAAUUACUGGGCGUAAAGCGUGCGCAGGCGGUUUUGUAAGACAGAGGUGAAAUCCCCGGGCUCAACCUGGGAACUGCCUUUGUGACUGCAAGGCUAGAGUACGGCAGAGGGGGAUGGAAUUCCGCGUGUAGCAGUGAAAUGCGUAGAUAUGCGGAGGAACACCGAUGGCGAAGUCAAUCCCCUGGGCCUGUACUGACGCUCAUGCACGAAAGCGUGGGGAGCAAACAGGAUUAGAUACCCCUGUAGUCCCUGUCUCUUAUAC